RNAcentral lists this long non-coding RNA (4960 nucleotides) under Podarcis lilfordi (Lilford's wall lizard). Lineage: Eukaryota; Metazoa; Chordata; Lepidosauria; Squamata; Lacertidae. The record is from RNAcentral.
AGGUGUCUAAAUAUCACAGCAUACAACUCUUAAGCAAGAAAGCAUGUAUGUGGACAUGGCAGAAAUAUACAGGUGUGCUACAGUGGUGAAUUCUUGGUCCUUUAAACCAUUUUUUUAAAAAUGCCAUUUGCACAGCAAUUUACAGUGCAAUUCUAACCAUGUUUAUUCAGAAAGUAGUUCCACUGAAUUCAAUGAGGUUUGCUCUUAGGUAAGUGGUGUUUAAACUGAAGAAAGUAGGAAAAACCACUGGGCCGGUAAGAUACAAUCUAAGUCAAAUCCCUUAUGAAUACACAGUGGAAGUGAGGAACAGGUUUAAGGAUUUAGAUUUGGUGGACAGAGUGCCUGAAGAACUAUGUGUGGAGGCUUGCAGCAUUAUACAGGAGGCAGCAACGAAAACCAUCCCAAUGAAAAAGAAAUGCAAGAAAGCAAAGUGGCUGUCCAACAAGGCCUUACAAAUAGCGGGGGAAAGAAGGCAAGCAAAAUGCGAGGGAGAUAGUGAAAGAUACAGGAAAUUGAAUGCAGAUUUCCAAAAAAUAGCAAGGAGAGACAAGAAAGCCUUCUUAAACGAGCAAUGCAAAGAAAUAGAGGAAAACAACAGAAUGGGAAGAACCAGAGAUCUGUUCAAGAAAAUCAGAGAUAUGAAAGGAACAUUUCGUACAAAGAUUACCGUAAUAAGGGACAAAAGUGGUAAGGACCUAACAGAAGCAGAAUACAUCAAGAAGAGGUGGCAAGAAUACACAGAGGAACUAUACCAGAAAGACAUGGAUGUCUCGUACACCCCAGGUAGUGUGGUUGCUGACCUUGAGCCAGACAUCCUGGAGAGUGAAGUCAAAUGGGCCUUAGAAAGCACUGCAAAUAACAAGGCCAGUGGAAGUGAUGGUAUUCCAGCUGAACUAUUUAAAAUUUUAAAAGAUGAUGCUAUUAAGGUACUACACUCAAUAUGCCAGCAAGUUUGGAAAACUCAGCAGUGGCCAGAGGAUUGGAGGAGAUCAGUCUACAUUCCAAUCCCAAAGAAGGGCAGUGCCAAAGAAUGCUCCAACUACCGCACAAUUGCACUCAUUUCACACGCUAGCAAGGUUAUGCUUAAAAUUCUACAAGGAAGGCUCAAGCAGUAUGUGGACCGAGAACUCCCAGAAGUGCAAGCUGGAUUUAGAAGAGGCAGAGGAACCAGAGACCAAAUUGCAAACAUGCGCUGGAUUAUGGAGAAAGCUAGAGAGUUCCAGAAAGACAUCUACUUCUGCUUCAUUGACUAUGCAAAAGCCUUUGACUGUGUCGACCACAGCAAACUAUGGCAAGUUCUUAAAGAAAUGGGAGUGCCUGAUCACCUCAUCUGUCUCCUGAGAAAUCUCUAUGUGGGACAAGAAGCUACAGUUAGAACUGGAUAUGGAACAACUGAUUGGUUCAAAAUUGGGAAAGGAGUACGGCAAGGCUGUAUAUUGUCUCCUGCUUAUUUAACUUAUAUGCAGAAUUCAUCAUGCGAAAGGCUGGGCUGGAUGAAUCCGAAGCCGGAAUUAAGAUAGCCGGAAGAAAUAUCAACAACCUCAGAUAUGCAGAUGAUACAACCUUGAUGGCAGAAAGUGAGGAGGAAUUAAAGAACCUUUUAUUGAGGGUGAAAGAGGGGAGCGCAAAAUAUGGUCUGAAGCUCAACAUCAAAAAAACGAAGAUCAUGGCCACUGGUCCCAUCACCUUCUGGCAAAUAGAAGGGGAAGAAAUGGAGGCAGUAAGAGAUUUUACUUUCUUGGGCUCCAUGAUCACUACAGAUGGUGACAGCAGUCACGAAAUUAAAAGACGCCUGCUUCUUGGGAGAAAAGCAAUGACAAACCUAGACAGCAUCCUAAAAAGUAGAGACAUCACCUUGCCAACAAAGAUCCGUAUAGUAAAAGCUAUGGUUUUCCUAGUAGUGAUGUAUGGAAGUGAGAGCUGGACCAUAAAGAAGGCUGAUCGCCGAAGAAUUGAUGCUUUUGAAUUAUGGUGCUGGAGGAGACUCUUGAGAGUCCCAUGGACUGCAAGAAGAUCAAACCUAUCCAUUCUUAAGGAAAUCUGCCCUGAGUGCUCACUGGAAGGACAGAUCGUGAAGUUGAGGCUCCAAUACUUUGGUCACCUCAUGAGAGAGAAGACUCCCUGGAAAAGACCCUGAUGUUGGGAAAGAUGGAGGGCACAAGGAGAAGGGGACGACAGAGGAUGAGAUGGUUGGAUGGUAUUCUCGAAGCUACCAGCAUGAGUCUGUCCAAACUGCGGGAGGCAAUGGAGGACAGAAGUGCCUGGCGUGCUCUGGUUCAUGGGGUCACGAAGAGUCGGACACGACUAAACGACUAAACAACAACAACAACAACAACAACAACAACAACAAGUGGUGUUAGGAUUGCAGCCUAAAUAUUGGGGAAUCUGAGGAGUUGCAAUUCAGUCUGAGUGUUUUGUUCUCAGGCUUGCUGGAUUUCUGAGAGGUGCUGCACACAAACCCUGAAGGUACUGCCUUUUUAAUCAGUAAUGAGAGCAGAUUCUUCCAUUAACCAGCAACACCAUUGGUGUAACCUGUAUCCACAAACAAGAAAAAGAAUCCAGCACUAAUUAAGUAGUGUAUGAAUGCCUCUGUGCCUACAAAGCAUGAUACCAUAAACAUUUGCUUUUAUGAUAGCUGCUACAAUCAAUGCAACUUUCAGUGCCUAGCAGAUGAUGAGCUAUUUAAUUCUGACACCUAGAUGCACAAUUACAACUCUGUAGCAUGGGAUAUUAUAGAGUAACCUGGACAACACUAGCAGUCCUUUGGAUAUGGCUAGGAGAGUGCUAUCAGUCUUUUACCAUCAGGAGAACUAUACUCCUCUCAUCUACCACUGGUGUCAUACAAUGAGCAUCAGUUAGGACAAGGCUUGUUCUGACAGCUAAUAUUCUGGCCAACAAGCAGGAAGUAGGUACAGCUGCAUCCUACAGCUGCAAUUUUUGACAGAAGCUGGUUCAGCUGCACUUGGCAGAGGUACUAUUAUAAUUCCACCCAAAACACAAUUGCAGAUAAUCUCCUAAACUCCCCUAGUAUGCAAAUCUUGAACUGAACUAUAAUCUUCUCAAUCUUCCUUUACCCAAAGAUAGAAAAUGUCACUAUUCUGCAGCCUUCUGGGAUCGUUUCUGCCCUCUGUGUCAUCUCAAAUAUAAAUGCCAGUGGUGCUGAAUUUUCAUCAGCUGCUUCCCUGAGCACCUGAAGUAUGUUUCAUCAGGCCCUGAUGACUUAAAUACUGAUUUCAUCACCUCCCUACCCCCUAUUUGUCUGAUCAUAGAUCCCACAGCACCCUUCCUGUACUCCUGGCCUGCUUGUGGGCUUCCCGUUAGCAUCUGGUUCAUCACUCAGGGAACACUGGACUAGAUGGGCCUUUGAUCUGAUCCAGCAGGACUUCUCUUAUACUGGAAAUGCAACAAUACUUCCUUGUACAUAUGUUAUAUGUUAGCACCAACCCUGAUUCCUGACACAUUUGCAUAUUGCUUCCAACAUCCCUAGCUCAUCUAAUUCACUUAGUACCUUUUUUGUAAUUUUAUCCUGAACCAUUUAUUAAUCUCUGUAGAGGCAUGCUCUUGCUUCCAUAUAUAUAUAUAUAUAUAUAUAUAUAUAUAUAUAUAUAUUCCCUUUCCUGUAUGCUUCACUUUUGAUCUUGAUUUCACUUUCAGUUAAAAGUGGCCACUUCUUUAUGCAGCCAUAUUAAUCUCGCAUGAACCUUUCCAUCCCGUUUUUGGCACUGGAAUAGACACAAUUGGGCCUCCACAUCUUAGAAAUUGUAGGUCCUUCUGGGUUACCCAUUUCUUUAGUUUCUAUGUACAAAAAAACUGAGAAGAGCCUAGGUCCCAGACUAAUGACUAAUUCAUAAACCAGUUCUGUUUCCAGAUUGAAACGGGAAAGAAAAAAAUAAGAGCGAUAAGUAACAGAACUUUUUUUUCGGGCAGGUUUUAAAUAGCUUCCAUGUUUUGGGGGUGGGAGGAGAUGUGGCAGGUAGUCUGUAACUUCCUACCUCACCUUGUGCUCUCCAUGGAGCUGUGUCAUAGUAGAUUGUUUCCAUACACCCAUGUACAGCCCAUGUCUUCAGCGCCUGCAUGGGCUGGGUGUCGGGAGCACCUUCUUUGACCUUCCGAUCACAGGAACAGCAGCACAGCAUUCCUGAGGAAUAGGUCCUGGUGCAGUGGACUCACAUUUGCUGAUGUGAGCACCUCAAAAGCAGCAGAGUAACGGAAGCAAAGCUGUGAAGGUUUUGUUGCAUACCUAAUUUAUUUCUACUGAUUAAACAAAUAAAAGAACAUAACAAACAUGCACAAGAGAAGCAGCUCUUUCAUACUGCCAUCUUGUCUCUAGACAGCUCAAAGAAAAAAACCACACAGUACUAGGGACGGAAGAGUAGUUUCCGCCCCCGUCUUUCUCACAGGCAGAAAAUAAAACAAACAUGAUCUGGUGAUCUUUGCAAUGGGAGGGAUGAAAAUACUGACAGAUUGGACAGGGUGUGGCUGAUCCAUGUUUCUGUAGGAGCUUACAUCUAAAAAUUUGACAAAAGGGAAUCAACAGAGGAAGAGGAAGAAGGGAUGAACAGAGAAGUAAUGUGCAGUUGUUUCAGUGGCACACAAUGACUCUCAACCUGAUUUUUACCAUUAUAUUGUACAAAUCAAUGUCAAGAAUUUUGGGGUUUUGACUCAUAAUUUUGACUCACACUUGAAAUUUUUCAUGCUACAGGAAGAAACUUCAUGAUGAUACAUGCCACGGGGAUAUGUGUGUGUGUGUGUGUGUGUGUGUGUGUGUGUGUGUGUGUGUGUGUGUGAGAUUCUGAAAUAAACUAUUCUGACAAAUACAUAAUUACAUUUCCUGUACAGGCGACAGAGAAAAAGAAGAUAAAUUUGUUGAUACAUCUUUACAAAUAAUAGUGGACAACAAUUUGGACAUAUGAGUGUAAAAUUCAUGAUGGAAAUAAGAGUUGCAGAUCUUAUUUGUGGG